UUUGCAUAUAAAUAACACGAAAUGGUCUGUGUAAAAUGGAAUUCCACAUUAGACAUUUGCUGGAUGGUAGACACCAGACAACUAAGGGAUGAAAAACAGUAAGUAGCUGCCUGCCGGAUCCACGCUGACUUCACUUGGGCUAUGACGCUCUGUGGUCUGAAGGUAAAGAUGGGGGCUGACGUGAUCUGGAGGGCACCAAGACGACUUCCUGGAGGUGGCAAUGCUUGAACAUAGCUCUGAGGAAUGUCAGGGUAAUCCAGAGAAAUACGGCUGGCCCUGGAGAAUGCUGUAUACAACCCGGGCACUGCUGCCGUAGGUUGGAUCAUCGGCAUCUGUGGCUGUCACCUGGA
Manis pentadactyla (Chinese pangolin) is the source of this 350-nucleotide long non-coding RNA. RefSeq lists it as uncharacterized. Lineage: Eukaryota; Metazoa; Chordata; Mammalia; Pholidota; Manidae. The transcript has 3 exons. The record is from RefSeq and is a predicted model, not a curated record.